GAUGAACGCUGGCGGCGUGCCUAAUACAUGCAAGUCGAGCGAACGGAUGAGAAGCUUGCUCCUCUGAUGUUAGCGGCGGACGGGUGAGUAACACGUGGAUAACCUACCUAUAAGACUGGGAUAACUUCGGGAAACCGGAGCUAAUACCGGAUAAUAUUUUGAACCGCAUGGUUCAAUAGUGAAAGACGGUCUUGCUGUCACUUAUAGAUGGAUCCGCGCUGCAUUAGCUAGUUGGUAAGGUAACGGCUUACCAAGGCAACGAUGCAUAGCCGACCUGAGAGGGUGAUCGGCCACACUGGAACUGAGACACGGUCCAGACUCCUACGGGAGGCAGCAGUAGGGAAUCUUCCGCAAUGGGCGAAAGCCUGACGGAGCAACGCCGCGUGAGUGAUGAAGGUCUUCGGAUCGUAAAACUCUGUUAUUAGGGAAGAACAUAUGUGUAAGUAACUGUGCACAUCUUGACGGUACCUAAUCAGAAAGCCACGGCUAACUACGUG
RNAcentral lists this ribosomal RNA (497 nucleotides) under uncultured bacterium. Its description in RNAcentral is "partial 16S ribosomal RNA". It matches the Rfam family "Bacterial small subunit ribosomal RNA", at positions 28 to 507 of the family's 1533-position model. The record is from RNAcentral.